GCCAGGCGUGGUGGCGGGCGCCUGUAGUCCCAGCUACUCGGGAGGCUGAGGCAGGAGAAUCGCUUGAACCCAGGAGGCGGAGCUUGCAGUGAGCCGAGAUCAUCCAGCCUGGGUGACAGAGCGAGACUCUGCCUCAA
This 137-nucleotide non-coding RNA is filed under the name Homo sapiens (human). The record is from Rfam by way of RNAcentral. Lineage: Eukaryota; Metazoa; Chordata; Mammalia; Primates; Hominidae.